AUACGAAGGGGGGCUAGCGUUGCUCGGAAUGACUGGGCGUAAAGGGCGUGUAGGCGGUUUACACAGUCAGAUGUGAAAUCCCCGGGCUUAGCCUGGGAGCUGCAUUUGAUACGUGUAGACUGGAGUGUGAGAGAGGGUUGUGGAAUUCCCAGUGUAGAGGUGAAAUUCGUAGAUAUUGGGAAGAACACCGGUGGCGAAGGCGGCAACCUGGCUCAUGACUGACGCUGAGGCGCGAAAGCGU
Molecule: ribosomal RNA, 241 nt
Filed under: uncultured bacterium
Lineage: Bacteria
Description: partial 16S ribosomal RNA
Rfam family: Bacterial small subunit ribosomal RNA
Source: RNAcentral